This 460-nucleotide ribosomal RNA is filed under the name uncultured bacterium. Its description in RNAcentral is "partial 16S ribosomal RNA". It matches the Rfam family "Bacterial small subunit ribosomal RNA", at positions 338 to 795 of the family's 1533-position model. The record is from RNAcentral.
CCUACGGGAGGCAGCAGUGAGGAAUAUUGGUCAAUGGGCGCGAGCCUGAACCAGCCAAGUAGCGUGAAGGAUGACUGCCCUACGGGUUGUAAACUUCUUUUAUAAAGGAAUAAAGUGAGGCACGUGUGCCUGAUUGUGUGUACUUGAUGAAUAAGGAUCGGCUAACUCCGUGCCAGCCGCCGCGGUAAUACGGAGGAUCCGAGCGUUAUCCGGAUUUAGUGGGUUUAAAGGGAGCGGAGACGGGUUGGUAAGUCAGGUGUGAAAGUUUGCGGCUCAACCGUAAAAUGGCAAUUGAUACUGGCAGUCUUGAGUACAGUUGAGGUAGGCGGAAUUCGUGGUGUAGCGGUGAAAUGCUUAGAUAUCACGAAGAACUCCGAUUGCGAAGGCAGCUUACUAACCUGCCACUGACAUUGAUGCUCGAAAGUGUGGGUAUCAAACAGGAUUAGAUACCCCAGUAGUC